GACGAACGCUGGCGGCGUGCCUAACACAUGCAAGUCGAACGCUGAAGGUUGGUCCUUGUGCCGACUUGGUGAGCAGCGCACGGGUGAGUAACGCGGGGGGUAUCUGCCGUUGAGCGGGGGACAACUUUUGGAAACGAAUGCUAAUACCGCAUAAAAACUUUAAACACAAGGUUUAAGUGUGAAAGAUGCAAUUUCAUCACUCAAAGCUGCUCCCGCGUUUUAUUAGCUAGUUGGUGAGGUAAAGGCUCACCAAGGCGAUGAGACAUAGCCGAACUGAGAGGGUGAUCGGCCGCAUUGGGAGGGAGACACGGCCCAAUCUCCUACGGGAGGCAGCAGUAGGGAAUCUUCGGCCAUGGACGGAAGUCUGACCGAGAAAGGCCGAAUGAGGGAAGAAGGUUGUCGGGUCGGAAAACUCUGUUUGUGGGGUAGAAAGCUGGUGCGGCUGGAAAGAUGAGCAAGUGACGGUAACUACCCAGAAAGCAACGGCUAACUACGUG
Molecule: ribosomal RNA, 497 nt
Filed under: uncultured bacterium
Lineage: Bacteria
Description: partial 16S ribosomal RNA
Rfam family: Bacterial small subunit ribosomal RNA
Source: RNAcentral